RNAcentral lists this ribosomal RNA (253 nucleotides) under uncultured bacterium. Its description in RNAcentral is "partial 16S ribosomal RNA". It matches the Rfam family "Bacterial small subunit ribosomal RNA", at positions 524 to 776 of the family's 1533-position model. The record is from RNAcentral.
UACAGAGGUCUCAAGCGUUGUUCGGAUUCAUUGGGCGUAAAGGGUGCGUAGGCGGCCCGGUAAGUCCGCUGUGAAAGUCGGGGGCUCAACCCUCGGAUGCCGGUGGAUACUGUCGGGCUCGAGUACGGAAGAGGCGAGUGGAAUUCCUGGUGUAGCGGUGAAAUGCGCAGAUAUCAGGAGGAACACCAAUUGCGAAGGCAGCUCGCUGGGACGUUACUGACGCUGAGACGCGAAAGCGUGGGGAGCAAACAGG